This is a non-coding RNA of Rattus norvegicus (Norway rat), 2333 nucleotides long. The record is from RefSeq and is a predicted model, not a curated record. Lineage: Eukaryota; Metazoa; Chordata; Mammalia; Rodentia; Muridae.
ACCCCUGUGAGGCAGCACCCCUGUGAGGCAGACUGCUACUUCCUGGAGGGAGCCGAGUGAGGCUAGCAGAGACAAAGCAUCUGUGAACAGUGGAGUGAGGCAGAUUCACAGCUUGACGCCUCCCUUCCCGCCUUCCCAGGUACCCAGGUCUUUUCCCUCGCCCCAUGAACCAUGAGAAGAGGACAUUUUCUGCAGCCCACACCCACACCUGGUCCAAUCUCAGGAAGAGAAGGGAAUGACGUACCCACCCAGAAGAGCAAUUCGGAGGUUCUGGCGGAAGACAGGGUUCAAGAUGAGGCCCUGGAGUCCACCGGGGAGCAGCUGGGUAUGCCAAAUACGGAGGCCACUCAACAGCCCGGUACUUUCCUCCUGAGCCCUGGACGGAAGCAGAGUUGGGUGAGGUGUCAUGAAUAGAAAGGAGACCUCCAGGGAGCUCUCUCUCCCCCAAUGGCAGUCCUUGGAACAGUGUUGCAGAGGGAAGCAACAUGCACUGGAAGGGGUCCUAUGAAGCCUGGGACAGCCUCGACCUUACAAUGUAUCAAACUUGCAAUGUAACCUUACAAUCUACUGUUUCCUGUCUCUACCUCCCUACUUCGCUGGCUACUUUUUUCCUUUCUUCCUUUGGUCUUUUUGUUUGUUUUGUUCUAAUUAGUAUACAGCUAGAGAGAUCACAACUCUGCACCAUGGAAACCACUGCAAGUGUAUUCUGGAGGGUUUUCCUUGUGUAGGGCAGAGUCUGUUGAAAGGCCCUAGAUCUGAUCCCCAGCUCCUGUGUGUGUGCACCCUGGCAGUGUUCCAAACAAAAGCAAUUUGAGAAAUGACGCUUGCACAGGACUCACUUGCUGAACUCCUUCUUCACCCACAGGGCCACGGCAGCCUGUGGUAGAGGCUGCUCCAGAAAGAGCAUUCUCAUCACCCAGUUCUUAGCCAAGGAAGGGAGCUCCCUGUAAGGUUCAGAGGCCAAUGUUAUCAGAAGCAACCUCACACCUGCAUCUCUGCCCUUAUCUGCCUGGCCCCUUGGCUAAAAGGUGUAUGGUAGGACUGAACCACAAUACAAGGUUUUUCUGGUUCAUAACCUUGGGGUUCACAAUGUGAUCAAAUACCCUGCAACAUCUGCCUCUCAAAUGUCUCACGCCAUCUCCCACAUCCUUACCAGUCCCGCUGCCCCCACAACCUCUGUUUUGGAUUGACACACUGUCUAACACCCUGGUACUCACUGAGGUAAGCCUCUCCUCCAUGAUAACUAACUUCAGUCUGCAGGCCCCGUUACACUCUCCAAACGCCCCUCACCUGAAGACAGCCAGACAAGUGGCAGGGUGUCCAUACAAUCGGUCCAGCACCCCAGGGCUCAGGCCGCCUAAGAACUCCUGUAGAUUCCUGCAUUGUAGGUGUGCUCGGUUCAGUCCACCCCUCGCGGGGGUGAUCUCCAUCACCUGAGAGGGACAAGUGUCAGAACUCCCGCAUGACCCAUAUCACUCCAGAUCUAUGACUCCAGAUCUAUCAGGUUCACUUUCUGUACUUUCCUGUCUGGUGCCACUCAUUCCUCCCAAACCCUUCGUGUCCUGCUUCUUCAUCAUGCAGCUCAGGAUGGCCUUGAACUUGCUAUGUAGCCAAGGAUGGAUUUGAACCCCUGACCCAUCUUUGUGACCUCGAUGUCACAAGUGGCCACCAGGUUUUUCAUCCCACAUCUGCCUUUAAGUUCAGCCUUUUUUCAGUCUCCAGGGGGUGAGAUUAUUCUCAUUUUGUGUAUGGUCCUGAGGAUCAAAUCCAGAUCCUCACUGGUGUGUACAAAAGUGACUGAAUUACUUGUUGUGUCCUACUUGCAAAAGUGUUUUGCAUUAUCAAUGAUGUCUCUAGUUGACCUAAGCAGUGACAAAGAUGCUUGUUUGAGCCUAAGCUUCUCUCUUGUCCACCCUCCUGGUCAAAUCACUAUAAAUCUGUCAAGUACUUAGCGCUCUCAUCUGGGGACACGGUUAUAAACUGCCUCCACGCUUACCAACCUAAAUAUCUUUCUAUCCCUUCCCCCCACCCCCCGAGCCAGCUUCACCCCUCUCACUGAGACACACGCUUCCGAGCUCCUCACUUCUCCCCAGCUUUCCUUUCACACCACCUCUCACUCAACUCUCUCCCUCCCUGACCCCUCUCACACCCCCUCACCACUCGGAUCCCCUCCGCGCACCCCGGGUCACCAGCCGUCGCCUAAUCAGAGCUAAUGUCUCGCAUUGACUCCUGGAAAUAAAAGAUGAAAAUUCUAAAACGUGGGAGAACCGCGGAGAACUUCACAGACAGGACCCAGCCAAAAAGCAGCCCAAAGAGAAGGGAGCGCAGAAAAA